Molecule: long non-coding RNA, 1971 nt
Organism: Patella vulgata (common limpet)
Lineage: Eukaryota; Metazoa; Mollusca; Gastropoda; Patellidae
Exons: 3
Source: RefSeq, a predicted model, not a curated record
UUCUUCAGAAUUGUCUAGAAAAAGCUAUUUAGAGACAUUAAGAGUGGGAAAAUCUAUCGAUAUUUUAUGCUUUUUAUGUCAAGUAGGUGACAUAUCAAGUGAUUCACCCUCCACUAUUCCUACACCACUAUCAAGUUCUGAUAAUAUUAAAAGUUUGCUGGAUUUGCCAACACCAGAAAAAGCUACGACUGACCCAUCUACAAACACUUCCUUUCCAUCAAAACGUAGGAAAACUGUGCACAGAUGUGUUGUCUCAAGGCAUCCAAGAGAUGUCACCGAGACCACAGAAAAAAGGGUGGCAAGGUUGAGAUCACAGAGAAUGGAUGGAUUGAAGAUGUUAAUAUCACAGCUGGAUGAUAAAAAAAGAUUGGAAUUGUUGGCUGUCAUAAUAGAGAGACAAUUUAACCAGGCUUGAAAUUUGCGACUGUUUGAUUAUUGCAGCUAGAGACACACAAUUCACGUCUACACCACCAGCGACAAAAAAUCUAUAAGACCAGAAAUUGAUGAGUAUUGUUUAGAUGAGGGGGUUUAGAUCGCAUUACAAACAAGAGAUGACAUUUUGUUAGGGUGCCAGAUGACGACGAACAGAAAAGGUUUUGCCAUGCUGUCUACCAUCGGUUUUGGAGGCACGGUCGACUUGGAAGAGAUAAUCACAUAAGUUACAUCAAACUGUAUAGUCUGCAAAGUAAAAAGGGGGUAUCCUGACAAAUGGGCAUAACAAUGAAUGAAGAAGCACUGUUCAAAAGACCUACCCAAAUUAUCAAACAAAACAUGCUUUUCUAUUAGUUAAAGUUACAUUAUGGAAGAUUAGAUAAAGAGCUAGCAGUUCUCACUAUAAUAAUUAUAACUAGAUGAUGUAAAUGGAAUAUGCUGAGAAUUUCAGUUAAAUUGCUUCACUAUAAGCCGAGAAAACCUCAGUUUAAAAAUGACUGUAGCCUCGAUUGUCAUUGUUAUUGCUGUCACGAUAAUAAACAUAUCUGAAAAAUAAACAAAUUAAAAAGGUUAAUGGAAAUGGGCAUAUGUCAUGCAGUGUUAUAUGAGGGAAAUUGUCCGAACUGCACAAAUUUCAAUUGUCAAGAGAACUUAUCAUGCUGCUAAUGGUAUACACAUCCCCCACCCCCCUCUUUUAUUGCUGAUCUUAGAAAACCAGGAUUGAUAAUGUAGAAAAACUUUCUUGGACCCCAAGGUUCGUGAGCCAGCUCCAAAAUCACAGUUUGAUUGUACCGAGAUGAGACACAAUAAUUUGACGUUUUCUCGUAUAUUAUAAACAAAUUUGAUCCAUGGUUAAAAUUGACCAAUUAGUUUCUUAUAUGAUUGUGGGACGGAUCAUUUAUUAGAUAUUGUUGAAUGUUAUUACAUAAGUAAGGGGAAAACUAACAUAAUGUUUCUGUCAGCUCCUUUUAGUGGUUCUCGAUUUGUAUGCAAAUUAAAAUUAACUGCUACCAACAAACCUUUUACAUGGUAAACCAGUGGACUGCAAAAUAAUGUCAAAUAAAUUAUUAUUGUUGGUGUGGAACAUCUUUCAUUAAAUUUAAAAGAGUACUUUUUAAAGAAGGAAUGUGAAAAAAGAGGGUUUAAUGUCCACUUAACACAAACUAGGUCUAACUAGGACUUAAAAUACAUGGUUCAAUUUUAUUUCAAUAAUUCGCUUAUGCAUAGGUUUUUAGUGCAAUCACACAACUGGACUCAAUGACAGUCUAAUUCAACGCAAGAGAGUAGGCCAUAGUGCUGCUGCUCAGGCAAAAUUUCCCUCAUAGCACACUGUAUGGCAUAUGCUGGACUUCAUCAGUAGGAUGUUAACCGCCCAUUUCAUUUCUGAUCCUUAACCAUUCGGCCGCCCAGACGAACUUGAAAAUCAUAACUACUAGGCCUAGUUUGAACUACAAUUGCAGGUCUGUAUUGGUUGUAAUUACCUGGAACUUUUUACUGGAAUGGAAUGACUCAAUAUAUUUCCUGUGUUCCUGUAAAAUA